Molecule: long non-coding RNA, 190 nt
Organism: Daphnia pulicaria
Lineage: Eukaryota; Metazoa; Arthropoda; Branchiopoda; Diplostraca; Daphniidae
Exons: 2
Source: RefSeq, a predicted model, not a curated record
GUCAUCAUCUGGACCUUCAUCACAUAGGAAAGCAAUUCCUGAAACACACAAAAACGAACUCAUCAGCACGGUAAUGAAGGCGUGGGACGAUAUUUUCAAGAUUAACUGGCCCAACUGCACCCCAGAUGAUUUGAGGAAGCAAACUAAAAAGAGCAUUGGCCAAGAAUUCAAUAACCACCGUUAAAUAAUA